Molecule: small nuclear RNA, 120 nt
Organism: Jaculus jaculus (lesser Egyptian jerboa)
Lineage: Eukaryota; Metazoa; Chordata; Mammalia; Rodentia; Dipodidae
Source: Ensembl
GUGUUGUACGAAAGGAGAGGUCAGCACUCCCCUUGACAAGGAUGGAAGAGGCCUUCCUCACAGCACACAUAUGGCUAAGGCAUUGCCACCUACUUUGUGGCAUAAUAAAUAAAUAAUUAA